This 235-nucleotide ribosomal RNA is filed under the name uncultured bacterium. RNAcentral describes it as "partial 16S ribosomal RNA". It matches the Rfam family "Bacterial small subunit ribosomal RNA", at positions 524 to 757 of the family's 1533-position model. The record is from RNAcentral.
UACGUAGGGUGCGAGCGUUAAUCGGAAUUACUGGGCGUAAAGCGUGCGCAGGCGGUUUUGUAAGCCAGAUGUGAAAUCCCCGGGCUUAACCUGGGAAUGGCAUUUGGGACUGCAAGGCUUGAGUUUGGCAGAGGAGACUGGAAUUCCUGGUGUAGCAGUGAAAUGCGUAGAUAUCAGGAGGAAUACCGAUGGCGAAGGCAGGUCUCUGGGCUAGAACUGACGCUCAUGACACGAA